Peromyscus maniculatus bairdii (prairie deer mouse) is the source of this 1390-nucleotide non-coding RNA. The record is from RefSeq and is a predicted model, not a curated record. NCBI's taxonomy places the organism in Eukaryota, Metazoa, Chordata, Mammalia, Rodentia, Cricetidae.
UCUACCCUGGCGCUUGGGGCUCUUUUCUUGGGAGGUCCCGUUGAGCCCACCAGGAUAUUUUGAGGCACUCUCUUGUCGCCCCUUUUGGGGUGACUCUAGCAUGACUUCACCGGGACAGGGCCCCCAGUUAAAAGGCUCAGUGUGCCAACUCCCUUGUAGCUGGCUGCGAUCAGCCAAGUGUGGGCUGCCCAGCUGCCUCUGAGCCUCACGGCUGCCCGCUCUCCUUGGUUUGGGGGCUCCUUCCUCCAAUUUCAAACCCAGCAGCUUGAGAUCUUCAAACUCGCCCCUCUCUCUUUCUAAGUUGGGGAAGUCCACAAACGUUUCCUUCCCACACACCUCUCCGUGGGCUAUUUAAUGCAAUACUGUGAGGUGUGGUGAGCUGGGUUUCGUUUUUAUCUAAUGAGGCCAAAAGCGGAAAGGAGAAGGGAAGUGGCCAGGACUGGGCUCUGGCGCGGCAUUCCAGGCUGCACUGCUCAGAGCCACCACCAGGGGGCACACGGGGCCGUGGAAUGCACUUCUUGUUCAGCGGCUUUCUCUGCUCCUGUCUGCUCCUGUCUGCCUGGCUCUGCUAACUUUGGGAACUGUCCCUCUCUGGCUCCAAGUGGCAGAAACAGUUCCACUGAUCCACAUGUCGCCGUCACAGGGCACCUGUAGCCCGUUACUUGGGAGGUUCAGGCAGGAGAAUCGCUUCAGCCCAGCAGUUCUCAGCCAGCCUGGGUAACACAGGGAGGGAGACCGUCCCUCAAGGGGAGCACGUUGACUGGUGUGUUUCCAGCCCAAGGGACACGGGAGACUGGAGGCGCCUCUCUGUGGUGACCGACUUCCACUCCCAGCAGCCACUGUUCCCAAACCCGUUUGUGCGGUCGGACUUGUUCUAAUUACAUUUUUAAUUAUCAAGUGAGCUGAUUACUAGAGUAAAACCAAGCAAAGUUGUCCUGGCAGCAAAGCCAGACAAGUUCCCAAGUGUCUUCGAGCAAGACUGAUGGAUAGACUCAUACCAACACUCAUAAAAGGCAGCCCAACGCGAUACAACACGUCUGGAAUCCCAGCACAGGGAAGGCAGAGGCAGGAGGAUCAGGAGUUCAAAGUCACCCUCAGCUACAUAUGGAGUUCCAAGCCAGCCUGGACUACAUGAGGCUGUGAAAGAGAAUUCCUGGAAAGAAGCUGUCCCUGCAGAGACUGGCUGGCACCACAGAGGGAGAUAGAACAGCGUGUCUACUCACUCCAGAGGGGUAUCAAUGACAGACCCAAGUAAAGAUACCACCAAAGGCCAACCAGGUGAAGCCUCGAGUUUCCGGGGUUACUUGCAGGAGCCUGGACAGCCUGAAGCCACCUGCCACUAGAAGCCCAGGUCAGCCGGAUGGGUGACAGCUCUGGAAAGCUGGAAAUG